CCGGUGCCAUUCGCGGAUGGCUCACCCCACUGAAUGAUCAAUGGAGUAGGGUAUCGAACAAGAUGGGNUAAGCGUAGGCAGAGAAUCCUGUAGGCCGUAGGGGAGACCGCGCUCCCUGAAGUGCUGGUACAGCUUCGAAAUGCAAAUUGCGGACGCCGAGGGUUUUAACGUGNGCCGAAGGCAACACAGAAGCAUCCGUUUUGGCGAGGAUGUGGAGGUCCGNCGGAGUCAUCAGGCC
RNAcentral lists this unclassified non-coding RNA (238 nucleotides) under Desulfosarcina cetonica. Lineage: Bacteria; Pseudomonadati; Thermodesulfobacteriota; Desulfobacteria; Desulfobacterales; Desulfosarcinaceae. The record is from RNAcentral.